AUUUUGAUGCCUGUGCCGCUGGAGUUCUGGGCACGGGUUUGGGCAGAUGUAACUGAGGUUACAGCUUCAUCUUUGUCUAAAUCCUAACCUAUAUUUUGUUCGUGGUUUUGAACGUCACGUUGUUGGAUUCUAUUCUCAGGCUGGACACGUUGGUUUUGGGUUCGCGGCUUGAAUAUUUUGUGUAAAUUGCGGCUCCGCUUUUUGAAUGUUGAUGUCUUGUUCGGCUGAUUUUCCUCAAUUCGUUUUCAGGGCGCAAGAGCGGAAAUAAGUCCUUGAAUUAUUAUUAACUCUUGCAUUCAUUAACCAUUUGGUACAAGUCUUUUUGCAAAGGGGAUUCAUGUUCUACUGAGACCAGUGUACAAGAAUGGGACUGUUUCAUGUCGAGUGCCCUAAUGUGGACUGAGCAUUCCUCGGGUCGCUGAAUAAAAUGGGAUUCACAAACCGACAGCAUUUGAAUGAAUCGUAACGCAUACAUUUCGUCGUCAUAUCGGUUCUUAGAGCCGACUGGAGAUGAGUUUCGGAUGUUUACCAACCUAUUCAAAUUCAGUUGAAAACGCUGAAAUACACGGUCUUUAUUGUCAUAAGUUUAACGAAUAUCCUCAAUAUUUAAUGAUUAGCUUUGUUCUUAUAUUUUUAAAAAGUUAUUUGUCGAUUAAUUUCAACAUUAAAAUAUACAAAAGAUCAGACUUUUUAAACUAUUAUAUGCUUAUGUGUUCCAUACAUGGGUCUUUAAAAUAGUAAAAUCCAAGCUCUGAAGGCUGAGGACAGAAUGAGCAAAUAUCCCAGAGGGUUUUGUGGGAUAGCAACAAAGAGCUUCCUGUUCCCACCUUCUGGUCUCAGAGAAUCGUUGUGGCUUUGGCAUCUGUCAUAAGCUGCCUUGUGUGCAUCUGAACUGUACAGACACUGCCAUCUUUAGAAUAUUUGAACGAACAAUUUCGAUUCUUUAUUGCUUUAGAGAAUAAACUGUUUAGUUCGCCGCGUUAGUUUAGUGCUAAUGAUUUAAUGAAAACACCUGUAAAUCGUAUUGUAAAUAAAUGCCAAAGCUGCAGCCCUUACUCUUACAGAAUCAUAAGUAGCAACAGAAAAUGUAUUUUUUCCAAUCAACCAGAAAUACAUACGCCUGCCAAGACAUCUAUAGUGAAAACAGGUGUAAGAUUAUCUUUCCCUGCAAUGACCAUUACCUCAGAUCACAAAGAUUCGGGUCUGAAAUGUAUAAAAAUAGUUUGCUCAUAUAUUAAUCUCCAUUGGAUUAAGGGGGCUGGAAUGAUUAUCAUUUCAUUGAGUAUUGUGUAAAGUUAUUUCAUGUUGCUUGGCUGUGUUCACUCUUGUUUGCUGCUUGUCGGCUGGUCCUGCUCCUUAGUUACUGCCCAUCAUCUCAUUCACAAUUGAUCUCAAUUGCAGUUUAGGCACAGCAAAUCUUACAUUUUCUAUAUGAUAAUAUACUAUUUAAUGUUUUUGCCCCCAACUUUUAUUUUGAGAGAGCAGAGAGAUUUUGAUAAGAUUUCUGACCUAAAGAUUUGAAAGUGAGAAAAAGCAUUUACAGUGACAUGACCCCUCUUUGUAGCGCAUGUACUCUACGCUUCUCAACAUCUUGAGAUUUCUGACUGCUCUCCUCUAUUUAAAAAUAAUGUUGCAGAGGAUGAUUUGGUACAUAGCCAAAGCUUUUUUUUUUACAACAGUGCAUCUUGUGAAUUCUGUAGGUGAAGAGUAAUACAUGAUAUUGAUGUUACUAGUAAGUUAGAGGGCAGGGAGAGUUGCAUAGUGCGUACAAUCAGAGGAGAAAGCAAAGAUUGGAUGAGUAGUUAAGAAAAAAAUAACAAGAACACCUGCUACAGACUAAAGGAUAAUUGUAGAAAUUACAUCAAGGAGACUGUCCAUGGAAACCAUCUUGUUUCUAGUUCUUCACCUGCACCCUCCUGCUGUAAUCCAUUUUCACUGCCCUUUCCCAUUUUUCAUUUUUCUUUAACAAAUGCAUAUCUAACUCCCUUUCAAAUGAUACAAAUUCUGCUUCAACUGCCUUUGUGGUAAAGCAUUCUAAAUUUUAAAUCUCUAUAAAGCAUAUUUUAGCUUCAUUUUUACUAUUAAUAUCUGAAUCAGUGCCCUCAUAUUACCAAUUUAGCAACCAAACAAUAUUUGCUAUUUACCCUUUCAGAAUUUUGAAAAGCCCUGUCAUGUUCCCUUCAUCUUUUUGUUCUGGCAAAUAAAACCUAAUUUAUUGAGUUGCCUUCAUACUAUAACCUUUGGUUCUGUAUUCCAUUGAAUCAUUCUUGUAUUGUUUGUAUGGCUGUAGUAUCCAUUGUGUAACUGAUCGCCCAUAUACAUAAUAUUCCAACAGUAGUUAAACUGAUAUUUUGUACAAAUUCACUUACCUGAUUUUAUGUUCAUUGUACCUAUGCGUAAACCCAAGAAACACAUUUACCCUUUUUAAUAGUUUUUCCUACCUGUACUCAUCAUUAAAGAUUAUUUUAUUUGUA
Carcharodon carcharias (great white shark) is the source of this 2474-nucleotide long non-coding RNA. RefSeq lists it as uncharacterized. The transcript is spliced from 2 exons. The record is from RefSeq and is a predicted model, not a curated record. NCBI's taxonomy places the organism in Eukaryota, Metazoa, Chordata, Chondrichthyes, Lamniformes, Lamnidae.